GACGAACGCUGGCGGCGCGCCUAACACAUGCAAGUCGAACGAGCGAGAGAGAGCUUGCUUUCUCGAGCGAGUGGCGAACGGGUGAGUAACGCGUGAGGAACCUGCCUCAAAGAGGGGGACAACAGUUGGAAACGACUGCUAAUACCGCAUAAGCCCACGGCUCGGCAUCGAGCAGAGGGAAAAGGAGCAAUCCGCUUUGAGAUGGCCUCGCGUCCGAUUAGCUAGUUGGUGAGGUAACGGCCCACCAAGGCAACGAUCGGUAGCCGGACUGAGAGGUUGAACGGCCACAUUGGGACUGAGACACGGCCCAGACUCCUACGGGAGGCAGCAGUGGGGAAUAUUGCACAAUGGGGGAAACCCUGAUGCAGCGACGCCGCGUGGAGGAAGAAGGUCUUCGGAUUGUAAACUCCUGUUGUUGAGGAAGAUAAUGACGGUACUCAACAAGGAAGUGACGGCUAACUACGUGCCAGCAGCCGCGGUAAAACGUAGGUCACAAGCGUUGUCCGGAAUUACUGGGUGUAAAGGGAGCGCAGGCGGGAGAACAAGUUGGAAGUGAAAUCCAUGGGCUCAACCCAUGAACUGCUUUCAAAACUGUUUUUCUUGAGUAGUGCAGAGGUAGGCGGAAUUCCCGGUGUAGCGGUGGAAUGCGUAGAUAUCGGGAGGAACACCAGUGGCGAAGGCGGCCUACUGGGCACCAACUGACGCUGAGGCUCGAAAGUGUGGGUAGCAAACAGGAUUAGAUACCCUGGUAGUCCACACCGUAAACGAUGGUUACUAGGUGUUGGAGGAUUGACCCCUUCAGUGCCGCAGUUAACACAAUAAGUAAUCCACCUGGGGAGUACGACCGCAAGGUUGAAACUCAAAGGAAUUGACGGGGGCCCGCACAAGCAGUGGAGUAUGUGGUUUAAUUCGACGCAACGCGAAGAACCUUACCAAGUCUUGACAUCCCUUGACGAUGCUGGAAACAGUAUUUCUCUUCGGAGCAAGGAGACAGGUGGUGCAUGGUUGUCGUCAGCUCGUGUCGUGAGAUGUUGGGUUAAGUCCCGCAACGAGCGCAACCCUUAUGGUCAGUUACUACGCAAGAGGACUCUGGCCAGACUGCCGUUGACAAAACGGAGGAAGGUGGGGAUGACGUCAAAUCAUCAUGCCCUUUAUGACUUGGGCUACACACGUACUACAAUGGCGUUAAACAAAGAGAAGCAAGACCGCGAGGUGGAGCAAAACUCAGAAACAACGUCCCAGUUCGGACUGCAGGCUGCAACUCGCCUGCACGAAGUCGGAAUUGCUAGUAAUCGUGGAUCAGCAUGCCACGGUGAAUACGUUCCCGGGCCUU
RNAcentral lists this ribosomal RNA (1333 nucleotides) under uncultured bacterium. RNAcentral's name for it is "bacterial SSU rRNA". It matches the Rfam family "Bacterial small subunit ribosomal RNA", at positions 28 to 1382 of the family's 1533-position model. The record is from RNAcentral.